RNAcentral lists this ribosomal RNA (460 nucleotides) under uncultured bacterium. Its description in RNAcentral is "partial 16S ribosomal RNA". It matches the Rfam family "Bacterial small subunit ribosomal RNA", at positions 338 to 795 of the family's 1533-position model. The record is from RNAcentral.
CCUACGGGCGGCAGCAGUGAGGAAUAUUGGUCAAUGGACGAGAGUCUGAACCAGCCAAGUAGCGUGAAGGAUGACUGCCCUAUGGGUUGUAAACUUCUUUUAUAUGGGAAUAAAACGUUCCACGUGUGGGAUUUUGUAUGUACCAUAUGAAUAAGGAUCGGCUAACUCCGUGCCAGCAGCCGCGGUAAUACGGAGGAUCCGAGCGUUAUCCGGAUUUAUUGGGUUUAAAGGGAGCGUAGGUGGAUUGUUAAGUCAGUUGUGAAAGUUUGCGGCUCAACCGUAAAAUUGCAGUUGAAACUGGCAGUCUUGAGUACAGUAGAGGUGGGCGGAAUUCGUGGUGUAGCGGUGAAAUGCUUAGAUAUCACGAAGAACUCCGAUUGCGAAGGCAGUUCACUGGACUGCAACUGACACUGAGGCUCGAAAGUGUGGGUAUCAAACAGGAGUAGAUACCCUUGUAGUC